GACGAACGCUGGCGGCGUGCCUAACACAUGCAAGUUGAGCGACGAACCAGGGCUUGCCCUGGGGCAAAGCAGCGAACGGGUGAGUAACACGUGGGUAACCUACCCCGAUAACCGGGACAACCCGAGGAAACUCGGGCUAAUACCGGAUGUGCUCACUGGACUUCGGUUCAGUGCGUAAAGGAAGCUUCGGCCUCCGUAUCGGGAGGGGCCCGCGGCCCAUUAGUUUGUUGGUGAGGUAACGGCUCACCAAGACCGCGAUGGGUAGCUGGUCUGAGAGGACGAUCAGCCACACUGGGACUGAGACACGGCCCAGACUCCUACGGGAGGCAGCAGUGGGGAAUCUUGCGCAAUGCGCGAAAGCGUGACGCAGCAACGCCGCGUGGGGGAAGAAGGCCUUCGGGUUGUAAACCCCUUUCAGGAGGGACGAAGGUUCGGCGGUGAAUAGCCGUCCGGACUGACGGUACCUCCACAAGAAGCCCCGGCCAACUACGUG
This 493-nucleotide ribosomal RNA is filed under the name uncultured bacterium. RNAcentral's name for it is "partial 16S ribosomal RNA". It matches the Rfam family "Bacterial small subunit ribosomal RNA", at positions 28 to 507 of the family's 1533-position model. The record is from RNAcentral.